RNAcentral lists this long non-coding RNA (1174 nucleotides) under Macaca nemestrina (pig-tailed macaque). Its description in RNAcentral is "lncRNA (ENSMNEG00000045587.1)". The record is from RNAcentral. Lineage: Eukaryota; Metazoa; Chordata; Mammalia; Primates; Cercopithecidae.
GUGCCGCCUGUGCUGGCCGGAGCCAGCGUGGCGAUCAGAUGUCUGGGUGUGCCUGGCACGACCCCACCUCACUGCUCCCCUGAGCUGUCUUUCCCCUGCAGAGGGGCCAAGGAGCACCCCUGGGAGGCCUUCCAUGUUUCAGGGAGAGAAUCAUGAAGAAACAGAAUAAAGGACUUUGUUGCAAGCUGCAGUCAUAAAGAAGGACAUGUGGGUGAGGCUGGGAGCCCGGGGAGCCUGGUGUCAGCUCCAAUCCGAGCAUCGGGGCCAGCAGGAAGACCCGGCCUCUGCUCUGCACCAGUCCCGGCACUGCCUGCGGCAUCUGAUUCUGCCAGUGCUGCCCACUUAGCUUUUGGGUUUCCUCUGUCAGCCCGGAGGAGGGCAAUCACGACGCAAUUUCUUACAAUAAUGAUACCUCACAUUGCAUAAUCGUUCACGUCCUUCAAAAUAUUGAAAAUCGUAGCACAGAAAGUUUGAAGGGUUCCACAGCAACUCAGCACCACGAAGUCAGCCACGGCCCCACACGUCGACGGCUCAGUUGGGUGACGUGGCCGGCCCCGGGGACUCCUCUUUCUGCUGACGUUCAUCCACAUCCACAUCCAGAGCUUCUCGGUGUCCAGGAGAUGCUGACAGCUCCUGGCCCCAGGAUGGGUGUGAGGCUGUGGCCCCGGGGUGAAAAGCUACAUCUCCCACGGCAGAUAGCCACCAUCACGGCUGUUAGAUGCCUGCGGACCGGACGAUGCAUCUAAAGGAAAACGGACCCAGGCGGGAAGACCAGCGGCCGCCCGAGUGUUGGCAGAAGCAGGCCCGUUGCUGAAUCGUGAUGUUUGUAGAAAUCGCUGUUUUAGCCACUGUUGGCUCCUCUCAAACUCCUGACCGACCCCAAGAGCUGCCGGGAAGCCCCUUCCCCUGUGACUCCUCAGGGACACGGGCUCCGGCUGCAGCCUCAAGUGACCCCUUUGCAGGAGUCCAAGAAAAGAGAAGCUGCUUCUGUGGAUUUCUGUCCUAGAUGAAGCCACAGCGGCAGGAAGUGGUAGCUGGCUGCUCCCAGGGUCUGUUUCGCUGGGACAAGAGGUCUCAAAGCUGUCCCUGGGAAGGAGCUUAGGCGGUGCUGAGCUGAUGUUCAGGGGGGCGGAGGGAGAGACAGGGAAAAAGCUUAGGCAGUGCUGAGCUGAUU